RNAcentral lists this ribosomal RNA (433 nucleotides) under uncultured bacterium. Its description in RNAcentral is "partial 16S ribosomal RNA". It matches the Rfam family "Bacterial small subunit ribosomal RNA", at positions 29 to 507 of the family's 1533-position model. The record is from RNAcentral.
AACGAACGCUGGCGGCAUGCCUAACACAUGCAAGUCGAACGAGACCUUCGGGUCUAGUGGCGCACGGGUGCGUAACGCGUGGGAAUCUACCCUCAGGUUCGGAAUAACUCAGAGAAAUUUGAGCUAAUACCGGAUGAUGACGUAAGUCCAAAGAUUUAUCGCCUGAGGAUGAGCCCGCGUAGGAUUAGGUAGUUGGUGAGGUAAAGGCUCACCAAGCCGACGAUCCUUAGCUGGUCUGAGAGGAUGAUCAGCCACACUGGGACUGAGACACGACCCAGACUCCUACGGGAGGCAGCAGUGGGGAAUAUUGGACAAUGGGCGAAAGCCUGAUCCAGCAAUGCCGCGUGAGUGAUGAAGGCCUUAGGGUUGUAAAGCUCUUUUACCCGGGAUGAUAAUGACAGUACCGGGAGAAUAAGCUCCGGCUAACUCCGUG